This 257-nucleotide ribosomal RNA is filed under the name uncultured bacterium. RNAcentral describes it as "partial 16S ribosomal RNA". It matches the Rfam family "Bacterial small subunit ribosomal RNA", at positions 524 to 776 of the family's 1533-position model. The record is from RNAcentral.
UACGGAGGGUGCGAGCGUUUGUCCGGAAUCAUUGGGCGUAAAGGGCGCGUAGGUGGCCCCUCAAGCGUGCGGUGAAAGUCAGGGGCUCAACCCCUGAUCGGCCGUGCGAACUGGGGAGCUUGAGCACUGUAGAGGCAGGCGGAAUUCCGGGUGUAGCGGUGGAAUGCGUAGAGAUCCGGAAGAACACCGGUGGCGAAGGCGGCCUGCUGGGCAGUUUUGCUGACACUGAGGCGCGACGAGCGUGGGGAGCAAACAGG